Molecule: ribosomal RNA, 465 nt
Filed under: Vreelandella stevensii
Lineage: Bacteria; Pseudomonadati; Pseudomonadota; Gammaproteobacteria; Oceanospirillales; Halomonadaceae
Description: partial 16S ribosomal RNA
Rfam family: Bacterial small subunit ribosomal RNA
Source: RNAcentral
CCUACGGGAGGCUGCAGUGGGGAAUAUUGGACAAUGGGGGGAACCCUGAUCCAGCCAUGCCGCGUGUGUGAAGAAGGCCCUCGGGUUGUAAAGCACUUUCAGUGAGGAAGAACGCCUGGUGGUUAAUACCCAUCAGGAAAGACAUCACUCACAGAAGAAGCACCGGCUAACUCCGUGCCAGCAGCCGCGGUAAUACGGAGGGUGCGAGCGUUAAUCGGAAUUACUGGGCGUAAAGCGCGCGUAGGUGGCUUGAUAAGCCGGUUGUGAAAGCCCCGGGCUCAACCUGGGAACGGCAUCCGGAGCUGUCAAGCUAGAGUGCAGGAGAGGAAGGUAGAAUUCCCGGUGUAGCGGUGAAAUGCGUAGAGAUCGGGAGGAAUACCAGUGGCGAAGGCGGCCUUCUGGACUGACACUGCCCCUGAGGUGCGAAAGCGUGGGUAGCAAACAGGAUUAGAUACCCGAGUAGUC